RNAcentral lists this ribosomal RNA (1198 nucleotides) under Limosilactobacillus fermentum. RNAcentral describes it as "bacterial SSU rRNA". It matches the Rfam family "Bacterial small subunit ribosomal RNA", at positions 250 to 1444 of the family's 1533-position model. The record is from RNAcentral. Lineage: Bacteria; Bacillati; Bacillota; Bacilli; Lactobacillales; Lactobacillaceae.
UGGAAGGUAACGGCCUACCAAGGUUGGAUGGGUAGCGAGUUGAGGAAUGAUUGGCCCCAAUGGAAUUGGGACCCGGUCCAUAUUCCUACGGGAGGCAGCAGUAGGAAUUCUUCCCCAAUGGGCGCAAGCCUGAUGGAGCAACACCGCGUGAGUAAAGAAGGGUUUCGGCUCGUAAAGCUUUGUUGUUAGAGAAGAACGUGCGUGAGAGCAACUGUUCACGCAGUGACGGUAUCUAACCAGAAAGUCACGGCUAAAUACGUGCCAGCAGCCGCGGUAAUACGUAGGUGGCAAGCGUUAUCCGGAUUUAUUGGGCGUAAAGCGAGCGCAGGCGGUUUGAUAAGUCUGAUGUGAAAGCCUUUGGCUUAACCAAAGAAGUGCAUCGGAAACUGUCAGACUUGAGUGCAGAAGAGGACAGUGGAACUCCAUGUGUAGCGGUGGAAUGCGUAGAUAUAUGGAAGAACACCAGUGGCGAAGGCGGCUGUCUGGUCUGCAACUGACGCUGAGGCUCGAAAGCAUGGGUAGCGAACAGGAUUAGAUACCCUGGUAGUCCAUGCCGUAAACGAUGAGUGCUAGGUGUUGGAGGGUUUCCGCCCUUCAGUGCCGCAGCUAACGCAUUAAGCACUCCGCCUGGGGAGUACGACCGCAAGGUUGAAACUCAAAGGAAUUGACGGGGGCCCGCACAAGCGGUGGAGCAUGUGGUUUAAUUCGAAGCUACGCGAAGAACCUUACCAGGUCUUGACAUCUUGCGCCAACCCUAGAGAUAGGGCGUUUCCUUCGGGAACGCAAUGACAGGUGGUGCAUGGUCGUCGUCAGCUCGUGUCGUGAGAUGUUGGGUUAAGUCCCGCAACGAGCGCAACCCUUGUUACUAGUUGCCAGCAUUCAGUUGGGCACUCUAGUGAGACUGCCGGUGACAAACCGGAGGAAGGUGGGGACGACGUCAGAUCAUCAUGCCCCUUAUGACCUGGGCUACACACGUGCUACAAUGGACGGUACAACGAGUCGCGAACUCGCGAGGGCAAGCUAAUCUCUUAAAACCGUUCUCAGUUCGGACUGCAGGCUGCAACUCGCCUGCACGAAGUCGGAAUCGCUAGUAAUCGCGGAUCAGCAUGCCGCGGUGAAUACGUUCCCGGGCCUUGUACACACCGCCCGUCACACCAUGAGAGUUUGCAACACCCCAAAGUCGGUGGGGUAACCCUUU